RNAcentral lists this ribosomal RNA (200 nucleotides) under uncultured bacterium. RNAcentral describes it as "partial 16S ribosomal RNA". It matches the Rfam family "Bacterial small subunit ribosomal RNA", at positions 328 to 539 of the family's 1533-position model. The record is from RNAcentral.
ACGCUCGACACCUACGGGAGACAGCAGUGGGGAAUAUUGCACAAUGGGGGAAACCCUGAUGCAGCGACGCCGCGUGAGCGAAGAAGUAUUUCGGUAUGUAAAGCUCUAUCAGCAGGGAAGAAACUGACGGUACCUGACUAAGAAGCACCGGCUAAAUACGUGCCAGCAGCCGACGGUAAUCUGAGGCGGGCUGGCAAGGC